GAUGAACGCUGGCGGCGUGCCUAAUACAUGCAAGUCGAGCGAACGGACGAGAAGCUUGCUUCUCUGAUGUUAGCGGCGGACGGGUGAGUAACACGUGGAUAACCUACCUAUAAGACUGGGAUAACUUCGGGAAACCGGAGCUAAGACCGGAUAAUAUUUUGAACCGCAUGGUUCAAAAGUGAAAGACGGUCUUGCUGUCACUUAUAGAUGGAUCCGCGCUGCAUUAGCUAGUUGGUAAGGUAACGGCUUACCAAGGCAACGAUGCAUAGCCGACCUGAGAGGGUGAUCGGCCACACUGGAACUGAGACACGGUCGAGACUCCUACGGGAGGCAGCAGUAGGGACUCUUCCGCAAUGGGCGAAAGCCUGACGGAGCAACGCCGCGUGAGUGAUGAAGGUCUUCGGAUCGUAAAACUCUGUUAUUAGGGAAGAACAUAUGUGUAAGUAACUGUGCACAUCUUGACGGUACCUAAUCAGAAAGCCACGGCUAACUACGUG
Molecule: ribosomal RNA, 497 nt
Filed under: uncultured bacterium
Lineage: Bacteria
Description: partial 16S ribosomal RNA
Rfam family: Bacterial small subunit ribosomal RNA
Source: RNAcentral